RNAcentral lists this ribosomal RNA (464 nucleotides) under uncultured bacterium. Its description in RNAcentral is "partial 16S ribosomal RNA". It matches the Rfam family "Bacterial small subunit ribosomal RNA", at positions 339 to 795 of the family's 1533-position model. The record is from RNAcentral.
CGGGGGGCUGCAGCAGUGGGGAAUAUUGCACAAUGGGCGCAAGCCUGAUGCAGCCAUGCCGCGUGUAUGAAGAAGGCCUUCGGGUUGUAAAGUACUUUCAGCGGGGAGGAAGGGAGUAAAGUUAAUACCUUUGCUCAUUGAUGUUACCCGCAGAAGAAGCACCGGCUAACUCCGUGCCAGCAGCCGCGGUAAUACGGAGGGUGCAAGCGUUAAUCGGAAUUACUGGGCGUAAAGCGCACGCAGGCGGUUUGUUAAGUCAGAUGUGAAAUCCCCGGGCUCAACCUGGGAACUGCAUCUGAUACUGGCAAGCUUGAGUCUCGUAGAGGGGGGUAGAAUUCCAGGUGUAGCGGUGAAAUGCGUAGAGAUCUGGAGGAAUACAGGUGGCGAAGGCGGCCCCCUGGACGAAGACUGACGUUCAGGUGCGAAAGCGUGGGGAGCAAACAGGAUUAGAUACCCUAGUAGUC